CUACGGAGGAUGCGAGCGUUAUCCGGAUUUAUUGGGUUUAAAGGGAGCGUAGGCGGGAGCUUAAGUCAGCGGUUAAAUGGUGCGGCUCAACCGUGCCCUGCCGUUGAAACUGGGUUUCUUGAGAGUGCAAGAGGCGGAUGGAAUUCAUGGGGUAGCGGUGAAAUGCUUAGAUAUCAUGAAGAACUCCGAUUGCGAAGGCAGUCCGCUGGGGCACGUCUGACGCUGAUGCUCGAAGGUGCGGGAAUCAAACAGGAUUAGAUACCCUGGUAGUCCGCACGGUAAACGAUGAUUACCCGCUGUCGGCGGCAGACAGUCGGCGGCCAAGCGAAAGCGAUAAGUAAUCCACCUGGGGAGUACGCCGGCAACGGUGAAACUCAAAGGAAUUGACGGGG
RNAcentral lists this ribosomal RNA (392 nucleotides) under uncultured bacterium. RNAcentral's name for it is "partial 16S ribosomal RNA". It matches the Rfam family "Bacterial small subunit ribosomal RNA", at positions 523 to 918 of the family's 1533-position model. The record is from RNAcentral.